AUGGACGGGGGCGCCUUCGACACAGAGGGUCGUGGAACAUGUGCGACUCGCGACUACAGUGACCAGCUCGUCUGUCAGCUGUCCGGUAAGCCGCUGGCGACGCUGGAUGAGUUCACGCUCGGCAGUGCCCCCGCCCUGGACAACUACAACAUCUCGGUGUUCGACGACUUCAAUGUUCCCAUGUCGUUCUCCCGCGAUACCUUCGGUGUCAACCUCCUCUGCCUCGACGACAGCUGCUCCAAUGUGGGGAAGGUCCAGCCUUGCACGACAAAGGCCUGCCUUCUACCCGUACUAGCUAGUGAGCUCUCCAUCGCAGGGACAUGA
This 324-nucleotide ribosomal RNA is filed under the name Triticum aestivum (bread wheat). RNAcentral's name for it is "partial small subunit ribosomal RNA". The record is from RNAcentral. Lineage: Eukaryota; Viridiplantae; Streptophyta; Magnoliopsida; Poales; Poaceae.